Zingiber officinale is the source of this 688-nucleotide long non-coding RNA. RefSeq lists it as uncharacterized. NCBI's taxonomy places the organism in Eukaryota, Viridiplantae, Streptophyta, Magnoliopsida, Zingiberales, Zingiberaceae. The record is from RefSeq and is a predicted model, not a curated record. The transcript is spliced from 3 exons.
CAUCCUCUGCGCCGGAAGAACUGCCGAAACCUUCAUCUUCCUCCUCGUUGAGCCCGCACCGCCACCCAAAUCCUCCCUGUCGCGUGCCCUAGCGCCGGUGUCACCUCUUCUCUUCUCCUCUGCGCACGCAACGCCGACCCCAGCGCCCUGUCGGGCGAGUCUCCUUCCCGAUCCUGCCUCCCUCUCCCCUGCCGACGCCGACGACGCCAGGGAACAGCGAGCCGGUGGCUGAGCGUCUCUCUUUCCCUCUUCCUUUCUUCUUCCCUGUCUCCGCCACUGUGAUUGGGACGUACCGCCGCCCCUCUCGGCCGGAAGCCACCUCCAAGUCGUGCCCUAGUUCUCCAUAGCCGCCACUUGAUCAUCUUUCCGAGCCCUAGACUCAAGCUGAUUUCGUCGGGUUUUUCCUUCACAGCUUGAGGUUGGUUCUGUCAUGAGGUAGGAUGAGAACCGAUUUGUAGUUCUAUCUCUGGUUCCAGCAGUAAUUUCAAUUGAUCACCCUUUACGACAAUUAGGUCUUCGGCUGUGAGAUAACAUGGGAGCAGCAUAUGAAGGGUGUUGGAUUUGGAAAUCAACAACUCCAUGUUGCUCCGACCGUGAUCCUUGGUAGCGAGCACUUCUUCGGUUGUGAAUUAACAGAGAGGUCUCCAAUUCGGGAUUCGAGUUGGAUGUGAUCUUCUGGAUUUAUUGA